GUGCCUGUAGUUCAAUUGGUAGAGCGCUGGACUGUGACUCUAGAUGCUGAGGGUUCGAGCCCCUUCAGGCACCCCA
This 76-nucleotide transfer RNA is filed under the name Candidatus Altimarinota bacterium. RNAcentral's name for it is "tRNA-His". It matches the Rfam family "tRNA". From Rfam's summary of the family: Transfer RNA (tRNA) molecules are approximately 80 nucleotides in length. Their secondary structure includes four short double-helical elements and three loops (D, anti-codon, and T loops). Lineage: Bacteria; Candidatus Altimarinota. The record is from RNAcentral.